AGGAUCCAAUAGGAUUUUCUGGAUAGGAUCCAAUAGGAUUUUCUCCCUUUGUCUAUAGGAACCACCCUUUAACUUAAAAGGGUGGUUCCUAUAGACAAAGGGAGAAAAU
RNAcentral lists this non-coding RNA (109 nucleotides) under Bemisia tabaci. Lineage: Eukaryota; Metazoa; Arthropoda; Insecta; Hemiptera; Aleyrodidae. The record is from RNAcentral.